Molecule: non-coding RNA, 69 nt
Organism: Podarcis lilfordi (Lilford's wall lizard)
Lineage: Eukaryota; Metazoa; Chordata; Lepidosauria; Squamata; Lacertidae
Source: the annotation of a GenBank genome assembly
GCUGUAGCUCAGGGUUAGAGCAUCUGCUUUGUGUGCAGAAGGUUCCAGGUUCAAUCCCCGGUAUCUCCA